CAGAAGAUUCGAAAGGUCCCUCCCCUCGUCCCUUCGCUUCCAUUUACCAAGGACUCUGCUUGAUCAGGUGUGUCCUCUCUGGCAUGAAGGUGCCGGGGUGACACAUGCAGAGAAGGGGAGAAACGUGCUCAGCUCUGCCAAGCCCUGCUUAGGGCCAGACCCCUGUGCCCAGGAGCAGAGAGGGAAGCGAGGAAGCGACUACCCCACCUUCUGCUGGGGGAGAAGAGAGACGCCUUUCCGAGAAGACAGUGUAUUCACCCGUGAAAGAUGCGACCAGCUCCGGGGCUCGGGCUUUGAAGGGAGGGGGGGACUGGACCUCUGGGGAGAGCGGCUGCUCCGCCGCCGUCUCCCCUGUCCUGUGAUCCGAGCUGCGCUGCGAACGCCGACUGUGAUUGCAGUUGGUGUGUUGGAUUCGCUGUAUUUCAUCGAUUGAGCACAUACCACUGAUUCAUUCGUUCCUUUGUUCAUCCAGCACCUGCCUUGCGUUGGGCCCCGUCCUAAGUGCUGCAGAUUUGGAAAUACAGAACAAGACACACUGUCCUUUCCUGCUCCUAUGGGGCUUCCAUGGCGGGAGAUAGCAAACACCACUCUUUUUUUUUCCUGCUUUUUAGGGCCGCACACAUGGCAUAUAGAAGAGCCCAAGCUAGGGGUCGAAUCAGAGCUGUAGCUGCUGGCCUACACCCCAGCCACAGCCACGCGGGAUCCGAGCCACGUCGGUGACCUACACCACAGCUCACAGCAACACCAGAUCCUUAACCCACUGAGCAAGCCAGGGAUUGGACCCACGUCCUCAUGGGCACUAGUUGGGUUUGUUACCCCUGAGCCACGACGGGAACUCCUCGAGGCACUUUGCACCGUUCCCCAUGCCCCGCUCCGGUCGUUGGAACCCCCCGAAUGCCCGCUCACAGUUAAAUAUGGCUUCUCAGGAUGUGGGCCUGCCCCCCACCCCAGGAGAAACAUGACACACCCUCAUUUCAUCCUCACAACCUCAUGAAAUUGGUCCUCUUCUGAUCCCCGUUUCACAGAUGGUAAAACUGAGGCACAGAGAUGUGCAGCCACUUCUCUGAGGUCACACAGUUGGAGUGAUGGAUUUGAACCCCAGGAGCCUGGCUUCAGGAUCUGUACUCUUUCCGUCUCUGUCAGAGAGCUUCUCAAAAGCGCGCGGAACCUGGGAGUUCUAGGCUGGAGAGAUGCUGUGCUGAAAAGAAGCGAUGACGUGAUAGAGGAGGUUUCCCGUGUGAAUACUGCUUGGACCCAGCGGGGAGGAAAGAGAGAGUAAUGGAAAGGGGUGCCUCACACUGCCUUACACCCGUGCAUUCUGGACACACCAUUAAAACCGGGGCUGCAGGGUUUGUGUGUGCCCCUAAGUGAUGCGUACUUUAGUGAAACCUCUGCUGUCGUAAGGAAGCUCUGCCCGUUGAGGGAUGAUUGUCCCUGUGGAAGUCACGCACCGGGGACUCGUGGGCGGAAGAAAGGAAAGGGAACGUUACACCAGCCGACUGUGGGAAGGGAGGCAGCCACUUCUUGUCUCUCCAUCCAGUCAGUAGAAAUGUAAUUACUGGCAGUUCUGUUGUGGCUCAGCGGUGAUGAGCCCAGCGAGUCUCCGUGAGGAUGCAGAUUUGAUCCCUGGCCUUGCUCAGUGGGUUAAGGAGGUCGCAGACGUGGCUUGGAUCUGGCAUUGCUGCGGCUGUGGUGUAGACCGGCAGCUAUAGUUCCAAUUCGACCCCUCGCCUGGGAACCUCCAUAUGCUGCAGGUGUGGCCCCAG
This 1766-nucleotide long non-coding RNA is filed under the name Sus scrofa (pig). RNAcentral's name for it is "lncRNA (ENSSSCG00025040914.1)". The record is from RNAcentral. Lineage: Eukaryota; Metazoa; Chordata; Mammalia; Artiodactyla; Suidae.